AAAUUGAAGAGUUUGAUCAUGGCUCAGAUUGAACGCUGGCGGCAGGCCUAACACAUGCAAGUCGAACGGUAACAGGAAUCAGCUUGCUGAUUCGCUGACGAGUGGCGGACGGGUGAGUAAUGUCUGGGAAACUGCCUGAUGGAGGGGGAUAACUACUGGAAACGGUAGCUAAUACCGCAUAACGUCGCAAGACCAAAGAGGGGGACCUUCGGGCCUCUUGCCAUCGGAUGUGCCCAGAUGGGAUUAGCUAGUAGGUGGGGUAACGGCUCACCUAGGCGACGAUCCCUAGCUGGUCUGAGAGGAUGACCAGCCACACUGGAACUGAGACACGGUCCAGACUCCUACGGGAGGCAGCAGUGGGGAAUAUUGCACAAUGGGCGCAAGCCUGAUGCAGCCAUGCCGCGUGUAUGAAGAAGGCCUUCGGGUUGUAAAGUACUUUCAGCGGGGAGGAAGGGAGUAAAGUUAAUACCU
This 471-nucleotide ribosomal RNA is filed under the name Escherichia coli O146. RNAcentral describes it as "bacterial SSU rRNA". It matches the Rfam family "Bacterial small subunit ribosomal RNA", at positions 1 to 468 of the family's 1533-position model. The record is from RNAcentral. Lineage: Bacteria; Pseudomonadati; Pseudomonadota; Gammaproteobacteria; Enterobacterales; Enterobacteriaceae.